RNAcentral lists this ribosomal RNA (253 nucleotides) under uncultured bacterium. RNAcentral's name for it is "partial 16S ribosomal RNA". It matches the Rfam family "Bacterial small subunit ribosomal RNA", at positions 524 to 776 of the family's 1533-position model. The record is from RNAcentral.
UACGUAGGUGGCAAGCGUUGUCCGGAUUUAUUGGGCGUAAAGCGCGCGCAGGCGGUUUCUUAAGUCUGAUGUGAAAGCCCACGGCUUAACCGUGGAGGGUCAUUGGAAACUGGGAGACUUGAGUGCAGAAGAGGAAAGUGGAAUUCCAAGUGUAGCGGUGAAAUGCGUAGAGAUUUGGAGGAACACCAGUGGCGAAGGCGACUUUCUGGUCUGCAACUGACGCUGAGGCGCGAAAGCAUGGGGAGCAAACAGG